UUCUACAGCCAUGACACCCUGUACAAACCCGAUCCCAUCUGAUCUUGGAAGUUAAGCAGAGUCGGGCCCGGUUAGUACCUCAAUGAGAGACCAUCUAGGAAGACCAGGUAGUGUAGGCG
This 119-nucleotide ribosomal RNA is filed under the name Pteropus alecto (black flying fox). The record is from RNAcentral. Lineage: Eukaryota; Metazoa; Chordata; Mammalia; Chiroptera; Pteropodidae.